RNAcentral lists this ribosomal RNA (301 nucleotides) under uncultured bacterium. Its description in RNAcentral is "partial 16S ribosomal RNA". It matches the Rfam family "Bacterial small subunit ribosomal RNA", at positions 509 to 807 of the family's 1533-position model. The record is from RNAcentral.
CAGUAGCCGCGGGAAUACGAAGGGGGCUAGCGUUGUUCGGAAUUACUGGGCGUAAAGCGCACGUAGGCGGCUUGGUAAGUUAGAGGUGAAAGCCCAGGGCUCAAUCCUGGAAUUGCCUUUAAGACUGCCGAGCUAGUAGGUGAGAGAGGUAAGUGGAAUUCCGAGUGUAGAGGUGAAAUUCGUAGAUAUUCGGAAGAACACCAGUGGCGAAGGCGGCUUACUGGCUCAUUCUAGACGCUGAGGUGCGAAAGCGUGGGGAGCAAACAGGAUUAGAUACCCCUGUAGUCCCUGUCUCUUAUAC